GUGGGGAAUAUUGGGCAAUGGGCGAAAGCCUGACCCAGCAACGCCGCGUGAAGGAAGAAGGUCUUCGGAUCGUAAACUUCUAUCCUUGGUGAAGAUAAUGACGGUAGCCAAGAAGGAAGCCCCGGCUAACUACGUGCCAGCAGCCGCGGUAAUACGUAGGGGGCAAGCGUUGUCCGGAAUGAUUGGGCGUAAAGGGCGCGUAGGCGGCCCGGUAAGUCUGAAGUGAAAGUCCUGCUUUUAAGGUGGGAAUUGCUUUGGAUACUGUCGGGCUUGAGUGCAGGAGAAGUAAGCGGAAUUCCCGGUGUAGCGGUGAAAUGCGUAGAGAUCGGGAGGAACACCAGUGGCGAAGGCGGCUUACUGGACUGUAACUGACGCUGAGGCGCGAAAGUGUGGGGAGCAAACAGGAUUAGAAACCCCUGUAGUCC
This 425-nucleotide ribosomal RNA is filed under the name uncultured bacterium. Its description in RNAcentral is "partial 16S ribosomal RNA". It matches the Rfam family "Bacterial small subunit ribosomal RNA", at positions 354 to 796 of the family's 1533-position model. The record is from RNAcentral.